This 426-nucleotide ribosomal RNA is filed under the name uncultured bacterium. RNAcentral describes it as "bacterial SSU rRNA". It matches the Rfam family "Bacterial small subunit ribosomal RNA", at positions 354 to 796 of the family's 1533-position model. The record is from RNAcentral.
GUGAGGAAUAUUGCGCAAUGGGCGAAAGCCUGACGCAGCGACGCCGCGUGGAGGAUGAAGGCCCUCGGGUUGUAAACUCCUGUCAGUGGGGAAGAGAACGGACGGUACCCACUGAGGAAGCUUCGGCUAACUACGUGCCAGCAGCCGCGGUAAGACGUAGGGAGCAAGCGUUGUCCGGAAUUACUGGGCGUAAAGAGCUCGUAGGCGGGAGCGUACGUCUGAAAGGAAAUCUCAGGGCUCAACUCUGGGGCUUUUUCAGAUACGGCGCUUCUUGAGUGUAACAGAGGAAAGCAGAAUUCCCGGUGUAGCGGUGAAAUGCGUAGAUAUCGGGAGGAAUACCAGUGGCGAAGGCGGCUUUCUGGGUUACCACUGACGCUGAGGAGCGAAAGCGUGGGGAGCGAACGGGAUUAGAUACCCCAGUAGUCC